ACUCUCCAAGCAUCCUUGAAUGCACCACCAGGAAGUGUUUGUCACUGGAACAAGGAUGUAGUUCCCACAGGUGUUUACAGGUGAUACUCGUGGAGAAGGAAGGAGAAGCCAUCAGGUAUGCUGUGGUGCCGAGGAGAAUGAAAGGUAUUCAGGAAAAACACCGAGGUCUUCCCUACGGCUCGGAGGAAGCUUACACUGCAGACGGAGUGAAAUACUACAUCAAUCACGUGACCCAGACGACCUCGUGGAGCCCUCCCGGGUUGAGCAGCGGCGCCCCAGAGCUGACGCCUCCGCCUCCGCCUCAGGAGACCUUAGAGGUGGAGGAAGAGCGUGAUGGAGAGGCAGCGGAGCAGAGACAGAACCCGACCACAGAGACGAAGAUGUAGGAGCAGAUCCUCCAUCCGUCCCCUCCUCC
Molecule: long non-coding RNA, 415 nt
Organism: Oreochromis aureus
Lineage: Eukaryota; Metazoa; Chordata; Actinopteri; Cichliformes; Cichlidae
Source: Ensembl